RNAcentral lists this ribosomal RNA (440 nucleotides) under uncultured bacterium. RNAcentral's name for it is "partial 16S ribosomal RNA". It matches the Rfam family "Bacterial small subunit ribosomal RNA", at positions 338 to 795 of the family's 1533-position model. The record is from RNAcentral.
CCUACGGGUGGCAGCAGUGGGGAAUAUUGCACAAUGGGGGCGACCCUGAUGCAGCGACGCCGCGUGAGUGAUGAAGUAUUUCGGUAUGUAAAGCUCUAUCAGCAGGGAAGAAAAUGACGGUACCUGAGUAAGAAGCCCCGGCUAACAACGUGCAAGCAGCCGCGGUAAUACGUAGGGGGCAAGCGUUAUCCGGAUUUACUGGGUGUAAAGGGAGUGUAGACGGCAUGGCAAGUCUGAAGUGAAAGCCCGGGGCUCAACCGCGGGACUGCUUUGGAAACUGUUAAGCUGGAGUACAGGAGAGGUAAGUGGAAUUCGUAGUGUAGCGGUGAAAUGCUUAGAUAUUAGGAAGAACACCAGUGGCGAAGGCAGCUUACUGGACUGUAACUGACGUUGAGGCUCGAAAGCGUGGGGAGCAAACAGGAUUAGAUACCCGAGUAGUC